UGGGGGAUAUUGCACAAUGGGCGAAAGCCUGAUGCAGCGACGCCGCGUGGGGGAUGAAGGCUUUCGGGUUGUAAACCUCUUUCGCUAUCGAACAAGGCCCGCUUAGGGUGGGUUGAGGGUAGGUGGAGAAGAAGCGCCGGCUAACUACGUGCCAGCAGCCGCGGUAAUACGUAGGGCGCGAGCGUUGUCCGGAAUUAUUGGGCGUAAAGGGCUUGUAGGCGGCUUGUCGCGCCUGCUGUGAAAACGCGGGGCUUAACUUCGCGCGUGCAGUGGGUACGGGCAGGCUUGAGUGUGGUAGGGGUGACUGGAAUUCCAGGUGUAGCGGUGGAAUGCGCAGAUAUCUGGAGGAGCACCGAUGGCGAAGGCAGGUCACUGGGCCAUUACUGACGCUGAGGAGCGAAAGCAUGGGUAGCGAACAGG
This 420-nucleotide ribosomal RNA is filed under the name bacterium. RNAcentral describes it as "partial 16S ribosomal RNA". It matches the Rfam family "Bacterial small subunit ribosomal RNA", at positions 355 to 776 of the family's 1533-position model. The record is from RNAcentral.